UGGGGAAUAUUGCACAAUGGGCGAAAGCCUGAUGCAGCAACGCCGCGUGAGCGAAGAAGGCCUUCGGGUCGUAAAGCUCUGUCCUCAAGGAAGAUAAUGACGGUACUUGAGGAGGAAGCCCCGGCUAACUACGUGCCAGCAGCCGCGGUAAUACGUAGGGGGCAAGCGUUAUCCGGAUUUACUGGGCGUAAAGGGUGCGUAGGCGGCCUUACAAGUCAGGAGUGAAAGGCUACGGCUCAACCGUAGUAAGCUCUUGAAACUGUUAGACUUGAGUGCAGGAGAGGAGAGUGGAAUUCCUAGUGUAGCGGUGAAAUGCGUAGAUAUUAGGAGGAACACCGGUUGCGAAGGCGGCUCUCUGGACUGUAACUGACGCUGAGGCACGAAAGCGUGGGGAGCAAACA
Molecule: ribosomal RNA, 401 nt
Filed under: uncultured bacterium
Lineage: Bacteria
Description: bacterial SSU rRNA
Rfam family: Bacterial small subunit ribosomal RNA
Source: RNAcentral